GCUGCCGCCCGGAGCAGGCACGGCGGGCUAGGCUCCGGAGCAGCCCCCUCCCGUCCCGCCCUGCCGGCCUUGGCCGCGGAGGAGAGGGAAAGGUAGUAUCAUUGCAACAGCAGGAAUGAGGCUGUGAGGAAGGACUGAAACACACAAAAGUAGACUCAAGGUGGAAGAGGAGGCAGCACUAUAAAGGAGAGGUGAGAAGAGGCAGCAGCUUGGAAAGAGGAUGAUAUGAGGGACUUCUUGAAAAACUAAUCUGCUGGGAAUAGCACAAAGGAGGAAGAGAAAAGAAAGUUGCCCAUCUCUGAGGAAUUAUACAGUUAUGUUGCCUGUUCCCAUUCUUGGAAUAAACUGAAAAAAUCUGAGCAUGAAUAUGGGCUAUCUUCUGCUUUGCACCUGAGGAGGCUGUCGUCCCAGAGGGGUGAGCAAGCUGCCAGGUUUCAUCCAUCUUCUGCCUGCCCCUUAAGCCAAAGAGCUUCUAUCUCUGAGAGGAAAGGCCCUCUAGGAUAAGGCUGAUGGGAACUACUGAAAGCACUUCUGGAUCUAAUAUAUCAGUCCUUCUCACGAAUGGGGAAAGGAAAUGUCUGCUCUGUAACUUUGAACUGUCUAGCUUUUCAAUAAAUGUGAGAUAGCUUUAAAUAGACAUAUCAAAAACAGUUACAGUUUGUCAUUAUAGUGGGUCCUGUGGUUGGUUUUGUUGUUUUACCUAAAGCCACUGUCUAUGGAGUCAUGUGUCUAAGCCAUGUGAUGAUGAAAGAUUCUGCUCUAGGCAAGCAAGUUUUUGUCCUUCCUCUUGACAAAGAAUUGCUUACAUUUGUGAAUCCUAAAGCCUUAGAAAACCAGGGAAGUACAGAAGAUGCAUUUCUGUUAUGUGAUACAGAUACCCCUUGAUACAAAACCCUCCAUCUCUGUUACUCGCAAUGCUUUGAAGGUUCAGUAACUUUUGCAUCUGUUAACUUUGCUACUGGAAUAGCUUUUUAUAAUCACUCAAUACACAGAACUAAAGCAAACAUGUUAAAAUGUCUGUAGGAUUGUAACCAAAGCACAUUUAGACAUCUUCUGAUACAUGGCUACUGAUUGGGUUGGGUAGCUGUAUUCCAAACAGUGUUCCACAAGCAGAUUAAUAUUUCAAAGGACGUCAUUAGUAUUCUUCUCCAAAAUCUGGAGAUUUCCGGAACUCAGAAGACAUCUUUAUCACUUUAGCACUCUGUACCCAAAAAUAACUAUAAAGAGACAGAGCUUUGUUCCCCCAAGAACAUUUAUUUCUGAUACAAUUAAGGAAAAAUACCUUUUUUCUCUUACCUUAGGUAAGUGAAUUAAUUGCAUUAAUUCAUUGGGAUGCACACUGCUAGGAUUGGACUAGUUACACAGAAGCAUUUUGUCUAGAGAAAGUUCAAUUGUGGAAUGAAUUGGAAGGAAUCUAGAACGAAUUGGAUUACUGCACGGGAGCUAGAGAAAGCAAAAUUACAUCUAUUUCCACAGAACAUUUUCUUUUUUUUUACUUUGUAGUUAACAUUCUCAUCAUGUAUGUAAAGUUCACAGCUGCUGAUUAAAGAUUGCAAAAGGGAUGUGGAAAAAAAAAUCUUUUAAAACAUACAGAAUGAAAUAGUUUGAGUGGCACUUUGUGAUUUGUUUUCCAAUUAGGAAUGACAUUUAAUUUUAAGAUUUGAGCUGUUUUUAAGAUAACAUUUUGUUGGUUCAGGUGCAUAUGCCUACUACUGUGAUUACUGACUGUAAUUUACAGGAUUUUAGGCACAGAAUAGGCCAUAUGCUCCCUUGUAUCUUUUUCCAAUAGUCUCAGUUUUAAUGUGUAAGACUGUGCUUACGGUUGCGAGUGACAGAACCCCAAAUUUAUUUUUGGUUCCAGUUUUUAUGUAUUUCUAGAUUAUUAAUGAAGCUGUAGGUUUUAGAUCUUCACUGACUUCACAAGUAUUUGGGAUGGGCCUUUCUCUUCAAGAAGAACAAAGGAAAACACAUCUUGUUACGCAGAUCAUAAUCUGUCCUAAGGUCAGUUUUGAGGUGUGCAGACAUCAGCAUGGAUUUGACAGUUUUUGCAUUAAAAUCCAGUGGUCAAACUAA
Long non-coding RNA from Tyto alba (common barn owl), 2073 nucleotides. RefSeq lists it as uncharacterized. NCBI's taxonomy places the organism in Eukaryota, Metazoa, Chordata, Aves, Strigiformes, Tytonidae. The transcript has 3 exons. The record is from RefSeq and is a predicted model, not a curated record.